RNAcentral lists this ribosomal RNA (466 nucleotides) under uncultured bacterium. RNAcentral describes it as "partial 16S ribosomal RNA". It matches the Rfam family "Bacterial small subunit ribosomal RNA", at positions 28 to 507 of the family's 1533-position model. The record is from RNAcentral.
GAUGAACGCUGGCGGCGUGCUUAACACAUGCAAGUCGAACGGAAAGGCUCCUGCUUGCAGGGGUACUCGAGUGGCGAACGGGUGAGUAACACGUGGGUGAUCUGCCCUGCACUUCGGGAUAAGCCUGGGAAACUGGGUCUAAUACCGGAUAGGACGAUGGUUUGGAUGCCAUUGUGGAAAGUUUUUUCGGUGUGGGAUGAGCUCGCGGCCUAUCAGCUUGGUGGUGGGGUAAUGGCCUACCAAGGCGUCGCCGGGUAGCCGGCCUGAGAGGGUGUACGGCCACAUUGGGACUGAGAUACGGCCCAGACUGCUACGGGAGGCAGCAGUGGGGAAUAUUGCACAAUGGGCGCAAGCCUGAUGCAGCGACGCCGCGUGGGGGAUGACGGCCUUCGGGUUGUAAACUCCUUUCGCUAGGGACGAAGCGCAAGUGACGGUACCUGGAGAAGAAGCACCGGCUAACUACGUG